UCGUUUAACAACAAUUCGUAGUUUGCCUUCAGAGGCUGUGGUUAUAAACUCAUACAGAAGUCUUAAUAGAACUUACAAGUGAUUGAGGUUUCAUCAACCGCACUGAUGUAGAACUUUCACAAUACUUGUAUGUCUGGAAUGUUUGCAACAUUGUAAUGCCGAAGGUACGAACUACAGCAUGAUGGAUCGAUCCCCAAACACUGAAAAAACUGAAAAGCCCAUAACAACAUCCUCCUGUUACAAGUACGUGCAGGGGGACACGUAGACACUUAUGCAGGAGUUUCCAUAGUCCACACAACAUGAUUGGGGAAACAGCAACCCAAUGACCCAGUGGAGUUGGUCUACCAAAGACGGGUGCC
Acanthaster planci (crown-of-thorns starfish) is the source of this 359-nucleotide long non-coding RNA. The record is from RefSeq and is a predicted model, not a curated record. NCBI's taxonomy places the organism in Eukaryota, Metazoa, Echinodermata, Asteroidea, Valvatida, Acanthasteridae.